RNAcentral lists this ribosomal RNA (233 nucleotides) under uncultured bacterium. RNAcentral's name for it is "partial 16S ribosomal RNA". It matches the Rfam family "Bacterial small subunit ribosomal RNA", at positions 15 to 244 of the family's 1533-position model. The record is from RNAcentral.
GAUCAUGGCUCAGGAUGAACGCUAGCGACAGGCUUAACACAUGCAAGUCGAGGGGCAGCAUGAGGUAGCAAUACCUUGAUGGCGACCGGCGCACGGGUGAGUAACGCGUAUGCAACCUGCCCGAUACCGGGGUAUAGCCCAUGGAAACGUGGAUUAACACCCCAUAGUACUUUUAUCCUGCCUGGGAUGUGAGUUAAAUGUUCAGGGUAUCGGAUGGGCAUGCGUCCUAUUAG